UGACAUAUAACACAAUGGUUAGUGUAUAUUAUUACGGAUAUUAGUAUGUAAGUUCGAUUCUUACUAUGUCAU
Molecule: transfer RNA, 72 nt
Filed under: Metschnikowia hibisci
Lineage: Eukaryota; Fungi; Ascomycota; Pichiomycetes; Serinales; Metschnikowiaceae
Also listed under: 2 other names
Description: tRNA-Arg
Rfam family: tRNA
About the family: Transfer RNA (tRNA) molecules are approximately 80 nucleotides in length.
Source: RNAcentral